AGGGCUAUAGCCAAGCGGUAAGGCAAGGGACUUUGACUCCCUCACGCACAAGUUCGAAUCUUGUUAGCCCUGCCA
Molecule: transfer RNA, 75 nt
Filed under: bacterium
Lineage: Bacteria
Also listed under: 1 other name
Description: tRNA-Gln
Rfam family: tRNA
About the family: Transfer RNA (tRNA) molecules are approximately 80 nucleotides in length. Their secondary structure includes four short double-helical elements and three loops (D, anti-codon, and T loops).
Source: RNAcentral